UUUUGCUCUGCUCUGAAACUACAAUAGGUGGUCUCACUCAACAACUUACCAGAAAAAAAAAACUCACUACAAACAGUUCCAAGGACACAUUUUGAAAUAUACACCAAAGCUAAGGAAUACAAAUCGCAGACAAAAGGUCAUAUUCGACCAAAGAGCAGAGCAGCCCUUUCUAGACAUAACAAAAUUCUUUGCACAAAUUCUCAUCAACAUCCGACCAAAAGAAUACGGAAGAGAAUAAGAAGACUCUACUACUGAUUAGCGUCGGUAGCUUGAGCGUUAUUAAUACUAGAACUAUCACUUCCUCCGCUUGUAGGUAAAGAAACAUUCCCUUGGUACAUUGCCGGUGGUGCAAACAUUGGCGGUGGUGCACAAUGGUUUUGGGCUCAAAUUCGUACAUGGCUAUCUCGUUUCUCAUGCUAGCGUGAGUUAAGGCCUUAAUGUAUGUUUUGAUGUAAUAAACAAGCAGCCCUUCUUGAAUUAAUAAAUAAACUAUUUGUAUAAAUUAUAUAUCAUUUGAUUUUAUUCCUAACAGAUUAAUAAGAAUACAGUUUCUUAUUCGUCCCACAUUGGUUGUGGUAGUCAUAAACGCUAGAGAAAUAGACUAUAAAAUAAGAGGGCCCGUUAUCGUAGAAGCCCAUACCUUUCUCGGCCUUUUGGCUAAGAUCAAGUGUAGUAUCUGUUCUUAUCAGUUUAAUAUCUGAUAUGUGAGCCAUCGGCUCACACGAUAUUAAAUUCAUUUUUUUAGGGGGAAGGUCCAUCAAGGCAGCUUGCUGUCUGGGACGCACUACUGCACGGGCCUGGCGCACCCCAUCAAAUCUAGUUAAAAUUUUACUUUUUAGGGUAACAACUAACAACGUGCAAGUAAUUAUGUUUAUUAGUUUAUCCAAAAUUGUAAAAUAAAUAGUUAAAAUGUGAGUAAACUGUAAAAAGUAGCCCUAAUCUCCAAAUACCUCAGUAAAGUUGAAAGAAAUUGCGUCUAAUGAAAAGGCUUUACAACCAUGAGUCGGUUUGGUUCCUAGAUCAUUGUAAAAUGACUCUUCGUUCAGUUGGCAACUGCGCUUUGGCAUAAUAAACGAGAGAAGAAUUGAAGCACUUCGAGUUAUGCGUCAAGUAUGAGUAUGAAAGAAGAGAAGAGACUGCGAACAAAGGGGACGUUAUUUUAUCGGAUAAUAACUGCAAAAUGAGGGACUGAGCAUGCAAGACCAUGUUGAAUAAAAGUUGGCAGAUGAUUGGUGAGUGUGGUGGAGGUCUUGGCCGGUUGAGGAGGUGAAGAGGGAGACCGAGUUUUUUUUGUUCAACUGAUUGCUCUUCUACUGUGCGCAUGACACAUUAGCUUGAGUUAAGGAUUAUUGGGUUGAUGCAAUAGACAUAGAGCAUCUAUCUGCACAUAAUUUCUGAGAAAACCAAACAGAAAUAGAAAGUUGUAAUGUCAUGAGUAUAAAUCCAAGGGGAAGAAAUGUGUGUGUUAUUUAUUAUUCAUUGCCACAGAAAGCAGCUGAAUGUUUUUUGAUCAAAUAGGCUAUUCAUUAUUGUCCCACAUCGAUAAAGAGUUCAUAUAAUGGAGAAGAGAAGUGAAUAUAAAAUGGGAAUCCCUUCUUAGAUUUUAAGUUAUGCAGCCGCGCGGUGAACACAUAGCGAACUAUUCUUUCGCCUUUUACUAAAGAAUACCGUGUGUUCGCCGCAAUUCAAGCGGCAUACGCCACUUUUUGUAGGGUGUCUCUCUAUAUUGAGUGAACCCACCAACUCUAGUUAAAUAUCUCAGUUGUGCUUUGGGGCUGUUCAUUAAAUAUUUCAGUUAUGCUUUGGGUGCGUUCAUUUUGUAGUUAUGUUUUGUUAAGGUUGUAGUCAUAAUGAAAUUUUUGAAUUUCACCAAUUUCGAUCAAAAUACAUCUAAAUUUGGAACCGCAUUUUUUUCAUUUCGAUUUUUUAUUCUUCCAAAUUUAUUUGUAAUGGAAUUGGAAGGUAUAUAAAAUUGCUGGAAAUUCCGAGUUCCGCUCCAAUUUUAUUUCUGAAUAUUUCUAUGGUGUUUCCAAAUAUAUAAUAUAAUUUUAUGAUAUAUUUUGUCAUUCAAUAUAUGUUGUAUUUUAUAUGAAAAACACAAAUACCGAAGGUUCCAGUAAAUUAAAAUCUUAGAAAAUAUUUUUUGGUAUCAGAAACGCGUUUUGUCGAACCCUCUUUUGGAUAUUCUUAUAUUUCCUGCAAAAUUAAAAAAAAAUAGAAGAAUAUUGCGAAAAUUUCCAUUUACAUCUCAAUGUGGAACAAACAAUUAUAAACUAAUGUAAUUUCUGAAAUUUUUGAAAUUCCGCUGAUUUUGAGGCAUUCUGAAAUUGGAAUGAGUUUUUGCAUUGUGAUUUUUUUGGAACGAAAAUUGAAAACCAUUUUUACUUGGGGUAACUACAUAUAAAUCCCCAAACUCAAACUUAAAGCGCGGAUCAAUCCCUACAUAUGUUUCAUAGGCGUAUCAGUCCAUAAUGCAAAGUUUAACAUGCAGUUCAAUCCCUAGGGGCAGGUGAAAAGUUUAAAAUAGUUAUUACUUUAAUCUAAAGUUAGAUAUCUUUUCCUUUUCUCUCUCUACAUUAUCUCUUUCAUCUUUUCUCUUUUUCUUUGUCUCUUCCUUGCCCGUUCCAAUUCCGCUUUCUGUUAUUUUUCUUCAAACAACAAACGAAACAAUAAGAACAAAGAAAAUGAAGAACCAAAGUAGUAGAAGAAGAAAAAAGCAAAAAGAAAAGAGGAAAGAGACACAUUUUCGAAGAAUGAUGAAGGGGAAGAAACAAGAUUUGAUUUUUUCCCAUAAUCAUUAUAUCGGUUCCAAUAUAUGUUAUUUUGUUGUUUGAGUUUGCAAAUAUCAUUAUUUAUUGUCGAAUUGCAUGAUUUUGAACACUUCCUCUCCUAAGUAUUCUUCUUCGGCGACAUUAGCAUGUCCCCAAAUCCCAAAGCAUUUUUAGUCCUAACAAAGAUUUGAUGUAUGAUGUUUGAUGACUUUGAUAUAAGAUAUGGGAAAUAGGCUUAUUGCAUUAUUCAUUGUGGUGUGCCGUAGUAUAUGCCAUAUGCAAAAAUGGUAUUGCUAGUGCAUUUGAAUGGUGUUGAAAAAGAGUAUUAUAAGUACUGGUAGUAGAACUUUAUAGUACAUUGUAUUUGUGAUAAUUGUAUUUAUGUGUAUGUAGUUGCAGGAAUUUGUCCUUUUGUUGUAGAGCUAAUAAUAUUAUCGGUUAUCUCUACUCGUACUUUUAUAUUUGCAAAAACAUUUUACCAUAUGUUUUGAUGAAUUGCACUGACCUGUUGAACACAUGGUACUAUAUUUUGUGAUGAAUUGAGUUUAUAUGGUUGACUUGGCCCCAGAAUAAUAUAAAUAAUAUAAACGUACCAUACUAAUGAACAACAAUUACUUUCUAGUUUAUUCGAAGAUACCGUAUCAACCUUAGAACUGUACUUCACAUGUGUAUUCAAUGUACUUACAUGUUUCACACAUCGAACUAUAGUUUGUGAUGAAUUGAGUUGUACCAAUUUCCUUGACACUUUAUUGAUCAAUUAGUAUGAGAGAUGCGUAAAUUAUGUUUUAGAUGAGUAUUUUAAGGUUGGUGAGCAUUAGUGUUGCGUUUGGAGUACAAGAUGUUAUAAAUAUGUUGAAUUUCAUACAUGAUACUCAUAAGUGUACAAGACACCAUGAAUUGUUGGAUAUGUUACAUGAUACUCAUAUAAGUGUAUAAGGCUCAUGUGUGGAGCUAAUAUUUUACUCAAAUGUUGCUAUAAUCGAUGUCGAUCCACUCUUACAUUGUCUCAUGUCAUGUUAAUAGUCUAAAAAUGAAGAAAUGUGUCUUAAAAUGAUAUUUUAUGGAUACAUUUGCUCCACGAUAAUAUAAAUAAUAUAGUAUGACGACAACAUAUACUUUAUGAAUGAACUCAUAGUACUAUAUGCAUGAAUAACCCUAAUUUUACCAGUUUAUACAUUGUACUUGUGGAACAAUUCAUACUAUUUUUUUUAUGAAUAGAGUUGUACCAAUUUCUCUGACACUUUAAUGAUCAAUUAGUAUAGGAGAUGCAUAAAUUAUGUCUUAGAUGAGUAUUUUAAGUUUGGUGAACAUUGGUGUUACGUUUGGAGUCCAAAGUUCCACAAAUGUUUUUGAUUUCCUACAUGAUAUUCACAUAUAUUACAAGGCUUGUAUGUAGGACUAGUAUUUUUCUCAAAUGUGACCAUAAUUAAUGUUGAUGAACACCCACGUUACUCAUUUCAAAUAAUUAGUCAUAAAAUGAAGGAAUGCCUCAUAAAAUGAGUUUAUAUUGUUGUAUUGCUCCCAAAAUAAUAUAUAUAAUGCAAGCGUAACAUAUUAACGGAGAACAUCUACUUUGUCAUUGAAAGAAGCAUACCCUACGAAUGGACAACACGUGCACCACCGGUGUAAUGCAUGUACUUUCCUGUAGAAUAAAUUGUACCAUAAUUAUAAUGAACUAAAUUGUACCAAUUUCAUAAAAAAUUUAGUGAUCAGUGAGUGUGUGAGAAACAUAAAAUAUAUUUAAUAACUAUUUUAAGAUUGAUGAACAAUGGUAUUACGAUUAGAGUUCAGAAUGCCACAAAAUACCAACAUGAUACUCACAUAGACAACACGUACUUCAACACGUAUUUAUUGAAAUCACUCAAAGAAUAUAUUAAAAAUUAAAUUAACUCAAAUUUUCUAUCUAUCCAACAGAAGCAUGAAUUUGUAUCUCAAUUUAGAACUUGGCACAUAAAAUACCAAUCAUUAACUCGGUUUAUUCAUUACCAUUGACCUUUAUACUUAUAGAAAAUUACGGUUCCAUUUGGAUGGAGGGAUUUGGAGGGGAAUUUGAAAUCCAUAAUAACAAAUCUCCUAUACUUGUUUGGAUUGAGGAAUUUGACAAGGAAUUUCAGAUCCACACCCCUCCCUUUUGAUUGAUUUUUGAGCAAUUGUGGUGGAUUUCAAAUAACUCCAAAUCGGUUCCCCAAAUCAAAUCACCCUCUAAAUUCAAAUGGACCAAAUGGACCCUGUAUGUUUUUGCUCUGCUCUGAAACUACAAUAGGUGGUCUCACUCAACAACUUACCAGAAAAAAACUCACUACAAACAGUUCCAAGGCACAUUUUGAAAUAUACAUCAAAGCUAAGGAAUACAAAUCGCAGACAAAAGGUGAUAUUCGACCAAAGAGCAGAGCAGCCCUUUCUAAACAUAACAAAAUUCUUUGCACAAAUUCUCAUCAACAUCCGACCAAAAGAAUACGGAAGAGAAUAAGAAGACUCUACUACUGAUUAGCGUCGGUAGCUUGAGCGUUAUUAAUACUAGAACUAUCACUUCCUCCGCUUGUAGGUAAAGAAACAUUCCCUUGAUACAUUGGCGGUGGUGCAAACAUUGGCGGUGGUGCACCCCCACUUGGCAUUCCAGGAAUCAUCGGAGGAGGGGGUGGAAGCCCCCCUGGUCUUUGUAGACCAUUCAUCUGACCUGGCAUAGGAGCUCCCGGUGGUAGCACCAUUUGCGGCAUCUGAGGUGGCGCAU
Molecule: long non-coding RNA, 5502 nt
Filed under: Erythranthe guttata (spotted monkey flower)
Lineage: Eukaryota; Viridiplantae; Streptophyta; Magnoliopsida; Lamiales; Phrymaceae
Description: long non-coding RNA (EGUT_LNC001028)
Rfam family: U2 spliceosomal RNA (bases 637-811)
Source: RNAcentral